GGAUGUAUAGCAAUAGCUACUUGCAUCAUCCUUUUCUCAUUUUAUUCUUCUCGUUUUCUUCUUUUUAAGAAGAAAAUGAGAAGAAUAAAAGUAGAGAAAAGUAAAGAUGAUGCAAGAUCGACUAUGUCGAAUAAAAUUCUAGGUAGAAUUAUGAUAAUGACAUUGUCUGCCUAUGUGUCUUGACCAAAUUACGUGCCAGCAGUCGCGGUAAUACGUAGAAGACUAGUGUUAUUCAUGUUUAAUCGGUUUAAAGGGUACCUAGACGGUAAAUCAAGCUUUCAAAGAAAAAGAAGACAAAAUUGAUAGUAUAGUGAUAAUUAAAGGACUAAUUUACUAGAGUUACUUAUGAGGGGGUAUUAAAGUACUGCUGGUGUAGAGAUGAAAUUCUGUCAUACCUCUUUUCAAAAGAAAAAUGAUGGCACAGGUAUAGGCGAAGGCAUCCCCUUAUGUGAUAACUGACGUUGAAGGACGAAGG
This 475-nucleotide ribosomal RNA is filed under the name Parmelia serrana. RNAcentral's name for it is "SSU rRNA". Lineage: Eukaryota; Fungi; Ascomycota; Lecanoromycetes; Lecanorales; Parmeliaceae. The record is from RNAcentral.